AGUGAACGCUGGCGGUAGGCCUAACACAUGCAAGUCGAACGGCAGCACAGUAAGAGCUUGCUCUUACGGGUGGCGAGUGGCGGACGGGUGAGGAAUUCAUCGGAAUCUACUUUUUCGUGGGGGAUAACGUAGGGAAACUUACGCUAAUACCGCAUACGACCUACGGGUGAAAGCAGGGGAUCUUCGGACCUUGCGCGAUUGAAUGAGCCGAUGUCGGAUUAGCUAGUUGGCGGGGUAAAGGCCCACCAAGGCGACGAUCCGUAGCUGGUCUGAGAGGAUGAUCAGCCACACUGGAACUGAGACACGGUCCAGACUCCUACGGGAGGCAGCAGUGGGGAAUAUUGGACAAUGGGCGCAAGCCUGAUCCAGCCAUACCGCGUGGGUGAAGAAGGCCUUCGGGUUGUAAAGCCCUUUUGUUGGGAAAGAAAAGCAGCAGGUUAAUACCCCGCUGUCCUGACGGUACCCAAAGAAUAAGCACCGGCUAACUUCGUG
Molecule: ribosomal RNA, 492 nt
Filed under: uncultured bacterium
Lineage: Bacteria
Description: partial 16S ribosomal RNA
Rfam family: Bacterial small subunit ribosomal RNA
Source: RNAcentral